ACGAACACACUGUGAAAGACUGCCCUUCCCUCCUAAAACAAAACAAGGUGGGAACAACUUCGUCUUCACGCCACAGCGAUAAUUGAUUCUGGUGCCACGGCUUCCUAUAUAGAUAAGGAAUUUUGCACUGUAAAUAAAAUACCACUGAUGCAGAAA
Long non-coding RNA from Bombina bombina (fire-bellied toad), 156 nucleotides. RefSeq lists it as uncharacterized. The transcript has 2 exons. The record is from RefSeq and is a predicted model, not a curated record. Lineage: Eukaryota; Metazoa; Chordata; Amphibia; Anura; Bombinatoridae.